This 478-nucleotide ribosomal RNA is filed under the name uncultured bacterium. RNAcentral's name for it is "bacterial SSU rRNA". It matches the Rfam family "Bacterial small subunit ribosomal RNA", at positions 30 to 507 of the family's 1533-position model. The record is from RNAcentral.
AUUGAACGCUGGCGGCAUGCCUUACACAUGCAAGUCGAACGGCAGCACGGGAGCAAUCCUGGUGGCGAGUGGCGAACGGGCGAGUAAUGUAUCGGAACGUACCUUUCAGUGGGGGAUAACGUAGCGAAAGUUACGCUAAUACCGCAUAUUCUGUGAGCAGGAAAGCAGGGGAUCGCAAGACCUUGCGCUGAUUGAGCGGCCGAUAUCAGAUUAGCUAGUUGGUGAGGUAAAGGCUCACCAAGGCGACGAUCUGUAGCGGGUCUGAGAGGAUGAUCCGCCACACUGGAACUGAGACACGGUCCAGACUCCUACGGGAGGCAGCAGUGGGGAAUUUUGGACAAUGGGCGAAAGCCUGAUCCAGCCAUGCCGCGUGAUAGAUGAAGGCCCUCUGGGUUGUAAAUAUCUUUAUCUGGGAAGAAACAAUCUUAUUCUUAAGAUCUUGACGGUACCAGAGGAAUAAGCACCGGCUAACUCCGUG